CCGCUGUUCUGCUUUUACAGGUGCUGUGGCAGCAGCUUUCCCGUGGUGACAGAGCCCGGCAGUCGGCAGGGGCAAGUAGAGCAGAAUCUUUCAGCAACUUGAGGAGAGGAGCAGUCGGAGCGCUGACCUAAGCCGCAGUGGAUGAGAGAAGGAGAGGCCGUUGUGUUCGUAAGUUCUUGCACAUCGGGCACCGUUGAGCUGUCUCUCGGUAAUGUCUUGCUUUCUGCUCUGUUCAGGUCACACCGGGGCUUUUCCUAGCGACGUCCAAGUCCUUCUGGUGCGCGGAUUGUGUUGCAUCUUGUGGGCUUGGUGCCAUCAGCCGCUCAAAGAGAGUGCGGCUGCCUUUGAAGAUGCGCUGUGAAGAGGGAUGGAGACCUAGAGUACUGCACACGCUUAGCUGAUGGCAAAGCGUUUUGGGGUGUCCUGACCGUGCAUGCUGCCGUUGAGGGAGGUGUCUUCUGGAUGAGCGCAGCGUGGGAGGCGGAGGCAGCACAGUGCACAUGUUGGAAAAUGAGAGCAGACAGCUCCCACCUGUCUGUGGUGAAAGCUUGGUUUCUGAAGCCUUCAGAAGAAGCUGCCUGCUUCAGACCAGGCAUGAGGGAGAUGCAAGCACAUCUGCAUGCCCAGCCAUAACGGUUUGUUUUCAGACUGUAAUAGAAGUGAUGCUGAUUUAGUAAAAUAAAAAUAGAUAUGCUGGAAAGUA
Molecule: long non-coding RNA, 703 nt
Organism: Nothoprocta perdicaria
Lineage: Eukaryota; Metazoa; Chordata; Aves; Tinamiformes; Tinamidae
Exons: 4
Source: RefSeq, a predicted model, not a curated record